AUAUUGAUACUUCUGUCCAGUCACAGCCCCCACAAGACCUGGGGACCACGCAAUGAGGGCAGCCAGCGGAGAUCCCGGUGGAGGUGAGAUUCCUAUGA
This 98-nucleotide non-coding RNA is filed under the name unclassified sequences. Its description in RNAcentral is "pemK RNA". It matches the Rfam family "pemK RNA". The record is from RNAcentral.